GUCUAUGGUCAUGCUACUCUGAACGUACCCGAUCUCGUCUGAUCUCAGAAGCUAAGCAAGGUCGGGCCUGGUUAGUACUUGGAUGGGAGACCACCUAGGAAGACCAGGUGCUGUAGGCG
This 119-nucleotide ribosomal RNA is filed under the name Pteropus alecto (black flying fox). Lineage: Eukaryota; Metazoa; Chordata; Mammalia; Chiroptera; Pteropodidae. The record is from RNAcentral.